This 460-nucleotide ribosomal RNA is filed under the name uncultured bacterium. RNAcentral describes it as "partial 16S ribosomal RNA". It matches the Rfam family "Bacterial small subunit ribosomal RNA", at positions 338 to 795 of the family's 1533-position model. The record is from RNAcentral.
CCUACGGGUGGCUGCAGUGAGGAAUAUUGGUCAAUGGGCGCGAGUCUGAACCAGCCAUGCCGCGUGAAGGAAGACUGCUCUAUGAGUUGUAAACUUCUUUUGUAAGAGGUUAAACUCAGAUACGCGUAUCUGUCUGAAAGUAUCGUACGAAUAAGGAUCGGCUAACUCCGUGCCAGCAGCCGCGGUAAUACGGAGGAUUCAAGCGUUAUCCGGAUUUAUUGGGUUUAAAGGGGGCGUAGGCGGUCGGAUAAGUUAGAGGUGAAAUCCCGAGGCUCAACUUCGGAAUUGCCUUUGAUACUGGUCGGCUUGAGAGUAGUUGAGGUAGGCGGAAUGUAUGGUGGAGCGGUGAAAUGCUUAGAGAUCACACAGAACACCGAUUGCGAAGGCAGCUUACCAAGCUACCUCUGACGUUGAGGCACGAAAGCGUGGGGAGCAAACAGGAUUAGAUACCCCUGUAGUC